GAAAGUUUAAGCAUUUUUAAAGAUGGCAUGGAAAAUUCUUGGAAAGAAAAGUGGGAUUUUGGAAUUUCAAAAAUAAAUGGAGAAAAGUGAAAGGAUAAGAAACCUCCCCUUAAUAGACUAAGAUCUAUUGUAGGAGGAGAUGUUGCCCUUAAUUUCUCUUUUUCCUUUUCUUCCAUUUCUUUUUUUUCAUCUUCUUCCCUUUCUCUCUUUUCUUUCUCUUGUCUUUCUCUCUCCCUCUCUUCUUCUCUUCUCUUUCUAGCUUCAUCUUCUCUUCUCA
Molecule: long non-coding RNA, 277 nt
Filed under: Vigna radiata
Lineage: Eukaryota; Viridiplantae; Streptophyta; Magnoliopsida; Fabales; Fabaceae
Description: long non-coding RNA (VRAD_LNC011534)
Source: RNAcentral